ACGAACGCUGGCGGCGUGCUUAACACAUGCAAGUCGAACGGAAAGACCCCGCUUUUGUGGGGUGCUCGAGUGGCGAACGGGUGAGUAACACGUGAGUAACCUGCCCUUGACUUUGGGAUAACUUCAGGAAACUGGGGCUAAUACCGGAUAGGAGCUCCUGCUGCAUGGUGGGGGUUGGAAAGUUUCGGCGGUUGGGGAUGGACUCGCGGCUUAUCAGCUUGUUGGUGGGGUAGUGGCUUACCAAGGCUUUGACGGGUAGCCGGCCUGAGAGGGUGACCGGCCACAUUGGGACUGAGAUACGGCCCAGACUCCUACGGGAGGCAGCAGUGGGGAAUAUUGCACAAUGGGCGGAAGCCUGAUGCAGCAACGCCACGUGCGGGAUGACGGCCUUCGGGUUGUAAACCGCUUUCGCCUGUGACGAAGCGUGAGUGACGGUAAUGGGUAAAGAAGCACCGGCUAACUACGUG
RNAcentral lists this ribosomal RNA (467 nucleotides) under uncultured bacterium. Its description in RNAcentral is "partial 16S ribosomal RNA". It matches the Rfam family "Bacterial small subunit ribosomal RNA", at positions 29 to 507 of the family's 1533-position model. The record is from RNAcentral.